RNAcentral lists this transfer RNA (75 nucleotides) under Clostridium butyricum. Its description in RNAcentral is "tRNA-Lys". It matches the Rfam family "tRNA". Rfam says of the family: Transfer RNA (tRNA) molecules are approximately 80 nucleotides in length. Their secondary structure includes four short double-helical elements and three loops (D, anti-codon, and T loops). The record is from RNAcentral. Lineage: Bacteria; Bacillati; Bacillota; Clostridia; Eubacteriales; Clostridiaceae.
GCGGGAUUAGCUCAGUUGGUAGAGCACCUGACUCUUAAUCAGGGUGUCCAGGGUUCGAACCCUGAUCUCGCACCA